Long non-coding RNA from Dreissena polymorpha, 684 nucleotides. RefSeq lists it as uncharacterized. The record is from RefSeq and is a predicted model, not a curated record. Lineage: Eukaryota; Metazoa; Mollusca; Bivalvia; Myida; Dreissenidae. The transcript has 2 exons.
GUUUUAUCUUUCAAUGCUUGAUUGGUCACGACAACCAGAAGUGAAGAUUGCAUAAACAAAAUAACUAAUAGUCGGUGAACACAAUACGGGAUAUUUAUAAUACAUUUAGCCCAGACACUCCAGAUGUCGUUUUACAGAGCCUGUUCAAAAAGUACGAUUUGGACAACAGCGGCUGCAUCGGCCGUAAGGAGCUCGCUAAUUUACUAGAAGACGACCUCGGUGUGACAAGCGACUAAGCGGACGUGUAUGUACAUCUACUGGACAAGGACGGCAGCGCGAAAAUCAGCCCUAACGAAUUCUGCGCAUGACUUCGACGCAACGAGCGAUUCAGUAUAGUGAGCGACACAUCACGCUUUUAUGCGGUUAGCAAAGCCGUCGAGAUGUUUCCAAAAAUAUGAUAAGGAUGGAUCGCAGUGUAUUAGCUGUGAAGAGUUCAAAGACGUGUUGACCGAGCUGGGUCACAAUAAUGACUUUGAAGCCGCAUUCAAUGCCAUCGAUAAGGACGGAAACGGAAAAGUAGCCAUUCCGGAAUUAUUGAAGUGGCUAAACUGGGUUCCGUUAGAUUGACACCGUCUGUAAUUUUGAAAUGUAACGUGUAUUCACGUAAGAUCUAGGUUCACAAAGUGGGAAACCAGACCGGUCUUGUUACAUCGUUUUAUAAUUCAAUAAAGCCAUGGAAUUUUU